This is a long non-coding RNA of Capsicum annuum, 6337 nucleotides long. RefSeq lists it as uncharacterized. The record is from RefSeq and is a predicted model, not a curated record. Lineage: Eukaryota; Viridiplantae; Streptophyta; Magnoliopsida; Solanales; Solanaceae. The transcript has 2 exons.
AAGACCUUUUAUUAGAAAUGAAAAAUCCUUACACAAAUGUCUAUUUGAUCCAUUCCACAAGCCCAUGCUCCGGUCUGGACCAAAUUCAGACAAAAGAAAAAGGAAAGUUGUAGAGCAAAAAUCAAAACAACAAAAAAAUCAGCAAAAGAAAAUGAAAAAUCGACGCCUCAUCCUCUUCCAAUUGACUUGAUGCUUGCUACUACUCGGAUGUGCAUUGAUUCAGACAGGUAGAUGAACGAUGAAUUUUCUUUGUUGUCAAAAGAUGCUCAUUGUUGCAGAAUCAACUGAGUUUUGGGUGUUUUCACUCAAGAUGUUUAAAGUCUCACAAACGUCAUGAAAUCAGCCCAAUCGAAGACUUUUUCACCUCAAUUGAACGCAAAUUUGAACUCCUUCACAAAGAUAAGUUAAUUAUCUACCUGCUAUUGUGUCCUCAUGGUUUUAAUUGUCAAUUUCACCUAUCUCUCUACCCCUUGACAGAUUGAGCUCAUCAAAGGAGCUGAUACUACUGUCUAAAAGCUUGAAAGAAGCAAAUCUAUUGACAAUUUUAUCUGACUCAGAUUGCCACCUUCUGUCUCCUUGGUCCAAUCUAGUUAAUCCAUGUAUUUGCAUAUUAUGAGAUUGGGCUCAUUUUUGCAUUGUUGUAAUCUUUGUUUGACCGUGUUGUAACUGUGGUGUCCCCUGCAUAUCCAUUAUGUGUAUCAUGUUGACCUCUUGCUUGUGUGUUGUUGUUAUGAAUAAUGUAUUUAUAAUCAGUCUGUCCAACUGUUGCUUUAUUGUUGAUUGCUGAUUGUUAAAGUAUAUGCCUAUUGUCCACAUUAAAGGUUCCAUUUUGUAACUUUUUAAUCCUCAAAUUUUGAACUUGAGCUUUAUCCAUGUUCAACAACUCCAUUGCUUCUUUUGGUAGCUAUUGGAAAGUAUUAUAACUCACCCUGUCUACACCUGGAAAACAAAAAACUUUGUUAGCAAUAAAAUCAGCAACUUUGUUGCCUUCUCUGAAAGUGUGAUCCACCACUGCUGGGACCUCCUCCAUGAGGGUUUUUACUCUUUUUAUUUCCAAUGAAAUACUCCACUGAACCUCCUACUUCCCUUUCAUGAUUUUUAUAACUGAUAAUGAAUCAGUUUCUAGGCACACUGGAAGCAGAUUGCGAUUAAUGCAAUAUUCAAGUCCCAUUCUCAAAGCCGCUACUUCAGCCUCCAAAUUUUAAGAAUCGCGAAUUCUUUUACCUUCUGUAUAAAUCAUAUUCCCACCAUCAUCUCAAAUACAAAAUGCAAUAGAGAUCAGGCCAGGAUGGCCCUUUGAAGCUCCAUCAGAAUUGCGUUUGUAUUGACCUCGGCUAGGCAUCUUCCAGUUUACCACUGUACACCCAAUCCUUGGUGUAUAUGCAGCCAUGAAUCUCACUAAUUCAGGCUAAGAAUCUGAUAUAUUCUUCAACCAUGGGAAAAAUAAUUUUGCCAGAUAUACCAAAUUCCUAGUAAUCUCUAUCUUCAUGCUAAAAUAUGACUUCUUACUUCCAUGUUUAAUACAAUUUCUUCCCUUCCAAAUCUGCCACAAAAUAAACAUUGGCAUAGUUUUAUACAGUGCAUUGAGUUUAGAACCAGUUAUAGCUUUUCACCACUUGAGAACACUAUCUUUUAGCUAUAGAAAAGGACCAUCAACACCUGCAGUAUAUGCAAAAUAAUUUCAUGGAUUGUUAGACAUCCUACACUGCAUAAAUAAAUGGUUAAUAGUUUCUUGUAUCCCUUCAUCACAGCAGCAACAGAUCACACUAUCAGCCAUGUUCGUCCUAAUAAGAAUUUUCGCUAUUGGUAGUCUCUCCAUCCAUAACCUCCACAAGAAAAAGGAUACCUUAAACGGUACACCUUUCAUCCAUAAAGUUUUAAAAUUCUGUUGGAUUUCAUCCUUUUGUCUUAUAUUGUCCCAAGCAGAGCCCACAGUAAACUUACCUGUCUCAUUCAACAUCCACCAGGCCUUGUCCCAUUUGUCUGAUUCUUCCUCACACUUCACAUAAUUCAUAAUAUUAUGUCAUACCUCAUCCCCAAAAUUAUGUUGCAACAGAUCCACAUUCCAGCCACCAUUUAUGAAUAAUUGAUUCACUUCUUCAAGUUGGUGAUCUUUAGUAACAUUAAUCCAAUUGUGUCCAGUUGUCAUACCAGACACUAGAAUGUCCACACUUGGGUUCCCACCAUAUUUCUUGAUCAAGAAUAUCCAUGACCUCUAAUAUAUGUUCCCAAGUCAGUGAGCCUCCUUUCCACUCCACCAGUUGUGGCCUCACUUUUUUGAAAUACUUAUUCUAUAUAUAAUUAGUCUAUAAAAAUUUUUGGGUUCUAAAAAUCUACCAUAAUUUAGCAAACAAAGUUUUGGAUACAUCAGAGAGGGAUCUAAAUCCCAAACCCCCUUUUUCUUUAGGUCUGCAAAUAUCACUCCAAGCAACUCAAUGUUUAUUAGUGCCUACUUCCUUAAAAUUUCAUAGAAAUCUUGCAAAGAUUCUAUGUAAAUCAUAAAUGACACACUUAGGAGGGACUAUGGAAGACAAAAGAUACAUGGGAAUGCUAGUAAGAACAUUAUUAAUAAGAACAGUCUUACCACCAAAGGAUAGAAUCCUCCCUUUUCAUGCUUGGAGUUUGUUAUGGACUUUUUUCAUUAGCUCUGUAAAAUGGACCUUCUUCUUCUUUGCAUGUCCGAUUGGACAACCAAGACAAAUUUAAAGGAUUUUUUCUCGAAUGAAUCCAAUACUCUCUUCCAUUUCUUUGAUAUGAGCAUGAGAAGUCUUAUGAUAUAUAAAGAAAGAACUUUUAUCCUUGUUGAUCAUUUGACCAAACUGUUGCUAAUAUUCCCUGAGAAUAUUCAUCAUUAUUUUCAGAGAUAAUCUGUCAGCAGAACUAAAGAUGAUGGUAUCAUCCGCAUAUGCAAGAUGAUUAAUAUUCUCACUCCACUUAGGCAUGCCAUAACACCUAUAUUCAGCUUUCUGAAAAAAAAAAAUUAAGGUUUCUUGAUAAAACCUUCGCAGAUAAAAUGAAUAAAGAAAGAAAUAGAGGGUCUCCUUGUUUUACUUCUCUUAUGGAAUGGAAAAAACCAUGAGCUUGACCAUUGAUGAGAACUGAAUACCAAUUGUUGGCCACUAAUCUCCAUAUUUUAUCAACUACAUCACCAUCAAAACCAAAAUUUUCCAAUAUCUUAGUCAUAUCAAGUUUGAUCACCACAUUAGCCUAUUUUACUCUUAACCUUAUAUCAGAAAUAAUUUCCUGGGCCAAAAGGACAUUUUUAGUUAUAUUCCUGCCCUUUAACAAAAGUGAUUGAUUUCUGGAGAUUAUCCCAGAAAGCAAACCCUCAAUCCUGUGAUGCAAGACCCUAGAAAUAACUUUAUUCAGAAAAUUGCUCAAACUAAUUGGUCUCAUAUCAGAAAAAAAUUGUACAAUGUCUCUUUUUUGGUAAAAGGACCAAAUUUGUGAGUGUGAUGAACUUAGAAAGUGUAUUGCCCUUAGAAACGGCAACAAUACCUUAAAAACAUCUUCCCCUACUAUUUUCCAACAACUUUGAAAAAAGUAUCCUGUAAAACCAUCCGGGCCACCAGCAGUGUUACCAUUUAAUUCAAAUACUACCUUUCUUUCUUUUUGGUAAGCAAACCAUUAAUGGCUAUGUUGGCUUCUUCAGUAACCAGGGUAGGUAUAUGUUUCAGUAAAGUACAUUCUCUAUCACUACUAAUACUUGAAAAUUGAUUUUGAUAAAAUGCUAAAGCUUCAUUAGCCACCUGAUCAACUCCCUCUGCCCAUUGACCAUCACCUUUCUUGAUUCUUUGAAUAGAAAGUCUUUUCUCCUUUCAUUGACAAGACUAUGAAAGAAUCUGGAAUUCUUUUCUCCUUCUGAAAACCAUUGUAUGCCAGCUUUUGUCCUUCAAAAUUCUUCAUAAUAAAUAUAUUGUUUCAAUUCAGCUCGAGCCUUAUGAAGCACCAUUCUAUUCAAACCAGAUGGUAAUUCUUCAAAAAGUUUCUCCUUUAACCUAACUAUCUCGUCCCUGAUUAUCAGUUGUUUAAAAAUAUCUCCAAAUUUAUCAUUGCUCUAUUUAUUCAAAGCAGCUUUAGUCUUCUUCAAUUUAUGCUUAAGACCAAUACAAAUAUCAGCUUACUCUCCAGACACCCAAUUUGAUCUAACAAACUUGCUGAAAAUUUGUUUUCUCGAUCUAGAAAUUGAGAAAUCUGAAUGGUUUCCUCAGUGUUGAAGAUUGAUUUCCACAAGAUAUAAGCAAUGGUGCAUGAUCAGAUCCAAUCCUAGCCAAAUGCUCAAGCUCCUUGGACGCAAAACUACUUAAAAAGUUAUGAUUCACCAAAAGCUUGUCAAGCCUUUUGAAAAUACAAUCAUUAUCAAUCCUACCAUUCCACCAAGUGAACGGACUCCUUUUAAAAUUAACGUUUACUAAUUCACAAGAAUUAACACAAAAGUAAAAAUCUUCAUAUUCUUGUGGGUAUACAGGAAGACCCCCUAUCUUUUCCAUUUUGAUUGUAGUUUGCAUAUUGCAUACCCAACCUUCUUUUGUACUUCUAAAUUUGGUUAACAUCUUGAAAAGGCUCCAUCAAUGCAACAAUGGAGAAUUUAUGAUAUCUAUGUAACAUCUGAAUUCUGUGAAAUAAAUUUGGAUCCUCACAGACCUUACAUUCCAUAAUAAAGCUUUCAUCAUGAUUUGAACCUUGAUAUGACAUUUCUCUUGGGAUUUACCCUGCUAGGCAGUGUCUCUCCCACAUUUCUGCUUUUAUUAUUCUUUGAGGAAGUUUGGGGUGAUAUCCCUGUCAUCUUAAAUACUGAAUCUUCAAUAAGUUAGUUAUUCUCCUCCCCUUUAUCUUCAAUUUGCUCUACCUGAUGUGAUCUUAUAAGCUGUGUAUCUGUUGUACUGAAGUGAUGUGAAACUAACUGAUGAAGAGUGUUGUUGGGGGCUGAUUUUCUGCUAGCUCUUGAGUUCCCUUAUUAUAUUCAGCAUCUGUAUCCAAUAAUAGCAUAUUUUUGUUUGCAACCUGAGGAUAAGAUCCUACCAUCUCUCCGGUAGUGAUGAUUUCCUGAGAUCUGUCAAUUUGCAGAGGUUCAUGAUAGGUAACUGUUGAUAUGGAUUUUCCAUUCUGCGCUCUAUUUGUAUCAAAUCAUUUUUACUCCAUGAAGUUGUACUUGUUUGCUCAUUCCCAAAAUCUUGAACUGUAUUCAAAGAUUCUACCAUUGCCUGCGUCUUGUGAUAUUCUGUAACUGUUGUAAUUGCUAGUUCAUGCUCUUUUUCUAACUCAUGCCUAAUGACAUUAUGUUGAUUGUGUUUUGCCUUUUGUUUGGGAUUGUCAUCUCUCUGCUUUUGAAGUAACUGGUCACUCUCUUCCCUUUCCUUGUUUUUACACAGAUCAUUCACUUAACAUGUUGUUACGUCCCCCAUGUUGUGUUUAUUUUCUUCAUUGUUACUUGACCCCCUUGGUUAUCUACACACUCCUCUGCAGCAUCUUGAUGUAGUACCUUAAAUGAGUUGGCAGUGCUAAUUUCACUGUUGGUAUUGGCCCUUUCCUCUUUUUCAUUCAUUAACUUUGUGGUGUGCCUUUAUCAAGCUUAAAUUUCCUGCUCGUUGGGUUUCAUUUUGCAUAAACCACUCUUCCAUUAUUGAAUCUUUUGUGUACUUCUGCAGCUUCUUGCCCCUCUUUAUUACCCAUUUUUCUUUCCUGUUUAUCCUCCACUAUAAUGUUCCUUAACUCGGGAUGUAAACUUCUGCAAUCAACCUCAUCAUGACCUUGAAGUUCACAAGUAUAACAAUGCUUAGGCAACUCAUCAUAUUAUAUCUUCACCUUUUGGACUUUCCUUUCAUAACCUCUUCCAUCAACUACCUCUAGCUCCACAUAGUCAGGUAAUUUUGCAGCUAAAUGUAUUUGGACUUUGACCCUUGCACAACUAGGUUGGAUCUUAUUAACUGUAGCCAUAUCCAAUUGGAAUGGCUUUCCAACAGCAGAUGUAAGAGAAAAAAAGGAUUCCUUGACCAAAAAAGGUAGGCAGCAAGUCGGGGAAAGAAUCCAUAUCAUGACUUGGGGUAGUUUCUUCCUUCGGAUUAAAAUUAGCAUCAUAUAUGAAUGGACACAUUUGAUAUGUUAAACCAUCUUUUGCAGUAAUGUAGUAUAUGUUUUUCGACAUCAUGUUCACAAAGUCCUCCAUUCUACUAAACUUCAUCGGGAUAUGUUUGUUCCGAAGUAGUCCUAUUUUGAAUUCUCCCUUUAUUUUACACUAAUUUGGAAUUUGAAUUCUCAAGUCAUUCAAAUCAGGUCAUCCAUAUGAGAAUUUUCCUAUCACUGCAAAUUGGAACUCUUCAAUGAUAUUUCAUUAUUU